RNAcentral lists this long non-coding RNA (975 nucleotides) under Olea europaea subsp. europaea. Lineage: Eukaryota; Viridiplantae; Streptophyta; Magnoliopsida; Lamiales; Oleaceae. The record is from RNAcentral.
AAAAAACUGGAACACUCUCUCUCCAACAUUCGGCACCUCCAACCCCCACAUUUGAAACCCCCAAAACCCAAACCUUCAUAUCCGAUCAGUGAACCAACCAACCGUGGUCGUUAAAAAAAGUAGCAGAAAUCUAUAAAUCAAGAACUUCUCUCUCUCACAAUUGAAAAUCAAAAAAUCGAAAGGCCAAAGUAUGAAACCCUCCAUCUCCGGUCGUCGCACCGCACAUUCGCCAAAAGGUGUUGCCGUCAAACACUGGUCCUCGCAAGCAUUGCCCAAAAAUGCCCAUUUGUUGUUGACAACUAGACACAAGCCUGAUAAAUAUUCCAAUUUCAUUGUUAGGUGUGAAUUUGCAGAUAAUGGGGGUAUAGAUUCAAUUAGCGAUAGAGCAAAAAUGUCUGCUAUGCUUUUGUUUUUUGUGUAGAUUGAUUCAAAGUGUUAUGCUAGUGUAAUGGGGACGAUUUUGGAUGACGAGGUGAUUGAAAAGCAAAGAAAGGCUGCAAUGCAAGCUCAAUAGGCUCAUGAACAAUACUCCACCAGAGUCGAAUCAAUUCCGGUUGCCAUUUCAGAUACAUCUAAUGGCUAUGGUACUCAUCGGAUAGAGAAAAAUGCAGCCAUUACAACACCACCACCAUUGGUGUUUCGAGUUUUCUACAGGGACCUUACGAUGGUUGGCAAUUUGCUUUCCCUGGCAGGAUUUAAUUGUUCGAUGCCAGUGACAUAUGAAGCAUUGAGCUGCUGAUAAUGGUGAUUAUUGCAACAAUUAGCAAGAAUUGAAAUCAAGCUUUGAGGGAAAACAAAAGUUCACUACGUUUCUUGUUCAGACUGCACUUCAAUAGCGAAUUUCUACCAUGUUCUGUAGCCUUGUCGAGUAGCACUUCAAUCACACUUUAUGUAGUUGUUGUUAAUGAUGUAUUUUUUAACUGUUUGUUUGAGUGGCGUUAUUUACUAAUUCAUUAUUGAUGGAAAAGAUUACUU